GGUAGCUGUCUGUGAGGGAAAGACCGUGGAUUAAGCGGACUUUGUGGUGUUAGAUUAAUGUAGGUAUGUCAGUACUGUUGAACAUGGAAGCAGAAGUCUUCAUGCAACCAAGAACCAAUGUACCAAAGUCUCAUUGUAUCCAAACGAGACAUUAUGCUCAUUAAUAGAAGCAAAUGGAAGUGCAGGAAAUGCAGUACAUAGAAAGAAUGACAUAAGCAAUGGAAUAUUAAACACCAUUGACAUUUCUCACACUGUUUCCUGGCAGGCUUUUAUAACCAUUUUCCUAUUGGUGUACUAGCACAGGUCACCUGUUUUGCAACUUCACUGGUCAUCGGGAUUCAGUUCGAAGCGGGACUCAUCACUCAAGACGAGUCUACUGCACUCAAUGAGAUGCCAGGCAGAAGACGUGUGUGGAGACGCCCCAGACAGCAGUGGGAUAUGAAUAUGACUGUCGCCCGCCGUACAGCCCACCAACGAAGAGUAGUAGGCCUGCUCUGGGGCGCCAUUUCUUUUCAUAGCAGGACUCCUUUGGCUGUCAUCUGCGGCACCCUUACAAUACAGCGGUACUUCGUCGAUAUUCUGAUUUGUUGUCCCUCGUGCAAGCCAUCCUGGCCUUACAUUUCAACAAGAUAAUUCCCUCCCGCAAACGGCGAGAGUUUCCGCUGCUUGUCUCUGUGCUUACAAACACUAUCCUGACCAGCAAAGUCGUCGGAUCUAUCCACAAUUGAGAAUGUUCGGAGCAUUAUGAGCAGGGACCUCCAACCAGCUCGGGAUUUAGACGAUCUAAAGUGCCAACUGAACAGAAUUAGGCACGAUAUUAUCAGGUGGACAUUCAACAACUUUAUCAAUCAAUUCCAAGCCGCAUAGCUGCUUCCAUAAAAGCCAGAGGCGGACCAAUGCAUUAUCACAUUCGUAAAGA
Schistocerca nitens (vagrant locust) is the source of this 919-nucleotide long non-coding RNA. RefSeq lists it as uncharacterized. The transcript is spliced from 3 exons. Lineage: Eukaryota; Metazoa; Arthropoda; Insecta; Orthoptera; Acrididae. The record is from RefSeq and is a predicted model, not a curated record.